GAGUCAGACCUGCGGCAACUAGGCAAGCUGCAGCCGCGAGGUAGAAGCUCUCUCUGACCCUUUUACCUUAAUGGUUCGUACCCGCGGGAAAUAAAGUUGGAAAACUGCAAGCGAUUUCCGAUCUACGGCUUCUUCCAGCUCCUCAGAUUUAUCUUACCGUCCCCCCCGCGAAUCCUCUCAAGAUCCCACCGAGAGAUGGAUUCGAAGACUCUCCCCUCCUUCCGCUGCUGGAUUCUGGCCCGUGCCCCGUCUCUCUCCACCCCAGCGGCUUCCCGAGUGAUUCUCCAAGGGCAAAUGAAUUUUGACCAGGAAGACAGUGAAGAAAUUUCAUAAAAGUGAAAUACUAAUUGGAAGCUCCUAUCGGCAUUGGUUGAUCUGACAAGUUGUGUGUAUAGAAACUAGCCUAUAUGGAGACACGAAUGUCAAAAGAAGUUUUACCGAUGAUAGAAAUAUGAGAGGAUCAUUAUGUAUUCUUCAAGAAAAAGAAAUAUGGCAAAGGAUAGUAAAGGUAAUACUGCCAAAAAUAUCCAGAUUGUAUUGAAGAAAAUUGUGAAAAAAAGGACCAGAGUCAAAGUUAUUUUUCUAGGAGGAGAAGAACACAUUGCAGAACAGAAGAUGGCAAAUAAAUGCUUUUCCAUGAAAGAGGCACAGAUUGCUUCUACUUACCAAAGCAAGUCACAUGGCCAUGCCUCACCAAGGAGUUAAGAAAGCAGAGUCCUCCCAAGGAAGCAUGUGUCCAGGAAAGAACUGUAUAUUGUUGACUAGCAACAAUGUCUGACACCUUGACUUAAACUUUACGUUACAAAUUUCUGAUCACAUUAGCUAUAACCUUUUGAAACUUACCAAUAGGCUGGCCACAGUGGCCCACACCUGUAAUCCCAGCACUUUGGGAGGCUGAGGAGGGCAGAUCAUGAGGUGAGGAGAUUGAGACCAUCCUGGCUAACACUGUGAAAUCCCGUCUCUACUAAAAAUACAAAAAAAUUUCCGGGUGUGGUGGCGUGCGCUUGUAGUUCCAGCUACUUGGGAGGCUGAAGCAGAAGAAUCACUUGAACCUGGGAGGCAGAGGUUGCAGUGACCCGAGGCCGCACCACUGCACUCCAGCCUGGGUGACAGAGUGAGACUCCUUCUCAAAAAAAAAAAAAAAAAAAAAACGGAAAAAAAAAAG
This is a long non-coding RNA of Homo sapiens (human), 1165 nucleotides long. NCBI's taxonomy places the organism in Eukaryota, Metazoa, Chordata, Mammalia, Primates, Hominidae. The record is from Ensembl.